UACGUAGGGUGCGAGCGUUGUUCGGAAUCACUGGGCGUAAAGGGAGCGUAGGCGGGAUCGUAAGUUAGGAGUUUAAUACAUGGGCUCAACCCGUGAUAUGCUUUUAAUACUGCGGUUCUUGAGUAUGGGAGAGGGUGAUGGAAUUCCAGGUGUAGCGGUGGAAUGCGUAGAUAUCUGGAAGAACACCAGUAGCGAAGGCGGUCACCUGGCCCAAUACUGACGCUGAGGCUCGAAAGCUGGGGGAGCAAACAGGAUUAGAUACC
RNAcentral lists this ribosomal RNA (263 nucleotides) under uncultured bacterium. RNAcentral describes it as "partial 16S ribosomal RNA". It matches the Rfam family "Bacterial small subunit ribosomal RNA", at positions 524 to 786 of the family's 1533-position model. The record is from RNAcentral.